AUUGCUUUGAAGAGAGAAGUGGUGACGAACCUUCCUCCCAUCCGAGGGAAGGCUCAGAGCACCAAAAGCCUCCUGCCAGAAACAGUUCACUAAUAAAAGCCUGCUGACUUUUGCACCAGUCUCUUCAGAGAUUAAAAAUGGUUCUCUGUUCUUGAAGAAUCACUCCUCCAAGGCCAAGAGAGUUAUGCUGGAGCAAAACAUGAACAUGGCAAGAAAGAAGCAGCUCAUCCUGAGCUCAUUGUCAGCAUGCUUGUAUGGAUGAUUUUCUGACAAAUCAUUUACACUUCUGCCCUUCAGAUGUCCAAUUCUGAGCUGUUUUGGUGUGUUAUUCCUCCUCAGAAGUCUCUUUGGUACAGAUGAGGGCUGCAUUUAUUUUUUAAUAUAAAUCACAUAAUCACAGAAAAUAAGACUUGAGAGAGAGCAGCAUAACCCAUAGAGGAAGAUACAUCUACCUGGAGGCGCUGCUGCAAGGAGGCGCUCCAUGGGGAUUCACACUGAAGGGCGGACUGGAGAACGGGGAGCCAUUAAUCAUCUCAAAGGUUGAAGAGGGAGGCAAAGCAGACUCCCUGCCUUCUAAGCUGCAGGCUGGUGACGAGGUGGUGAACAUCAAUGAGGUGCAACUGAGCAGCUCCAGGAGAGAGGCCAUUUCCCUUGUUAAAGGGUCCUACAAGAAACUCAAGCUAGUUGU
Tympanuchus pallidicinctus (lesser prairie-chicken) is the source of this 688-nucleotide long non-coding RNA. RefSeq lists it as uncharacterized. NCBI's taxonomy places the organism in Eukaryota, Metazoa, Chordata, Aves, Galliformes, Phasianidae. The record is from RefSeq and is a predicted model, not a curated record. The transcript is spliced from 4 exons.